GGACUCUGGUCCCUUCUCCAGCUUGGGAGAGUCCCUGCAAGCCUUUAGCACACCGACCUUUGCAGAAAUAGCACAAGGCAUGGCUGGUUCCAGAAAAUGGCUUAGUGGGAAUAGGAAAGGCAAUGCUGUGGAAUGAAGAUGAUCGUGGACCUGGAAUUCAGACUGCCUGGCUCCAAAUCCUAUUUCUACUUCCAGUGGGUCACUCUUGGGCUGAGAUGUCUGUUCCUUGUCAGAAUGGCUUAAGACAAAAUCUGGGACUACCAUCUUGAGUUGUCUUGCAGCACACCAUCAACCACGAACCUGCUUUGAAGUUCAUACGCCCCAGACUCAAAGGAGCCAAGGAGGACCUUAGUCAGCAUGCCGGAAAUAGUUGCGCUGACUUCACUGUGAGACAAUCAGAUUCCCACACAACUUCCAGGACCCCCACUCAUGAUUUUGCUCUAUAAAAGCUUGUGAGUUUAAGCUACCUAGGAGGUCGAGG
Galeopterus variegatus (Sunda flying lemur) is the source of this 481-nucleotide long non-coding RNA. RefSeq lists it as uncharacterized. The transcript is spliced from 3 exons. NCBI's taxonomy places the organism in Eukaryota, Metazoa, Chordata, Mammalia, Dermoptera, Cynocephalidae. The record is from RefSeq and is a predicted model, not a curated record.